Molecule: ribosomal RNA, 1440 nt
Filed under: uncultured organism
Description: SSU rRNA
Rfam family: Bacterial small subunit ribosomal RNA
Source: RNAcentral
AGAUGAACGCUAGCUACAGGCUUAACACAUGCAAGUCGAGGGGCAGCAUUUCAGUUUGCUUGCAAACUGGAGAUGGUGACCGGCGCACGGGUGAGUAACACGUAUCCAACCUGCCGAUAACUCGGGGAUAGCCUUUCGAAAGAAAGAUUAAUACCCGAUGGUAUAAUCAGACCGCAUGGUCUUGUUAUUAAAGAAUUUCGGUUAUCGAUGGGGAUGCGUUCCAUUAGGCAGUUGGUGAGGUAACGGCUCACCAAACCUUCGAUGGAUAGGGGUUCUGAGAGGAAGGUCCCCCACAUUGGAACUGAGACACGGUCCAAACUCCUACGGGAGGCAGCAGUGAGGAAUAUUGGUCAAUGGGCGCAGGCCUGAACCAGCCAAGUAGCGUGAAGGAUGACUGCCCUAUGGGUUGUAAACUUCUUUUAUAUGGGAAUAAAGUUUUCCACGUGUGGAAUUUUGUAUGUACCAUAUGAAUAAGGAUCGGCUAACUCCGUGCCAGCAGCCGCGGUAAUACGGAGGAUCCGAGCGUUAUCCGGAUUUAUUGGGUUUAAAGGGAGCGUAGGUGGACAGUUAAGUCAGUUGUGAAAGUUUGCGGCUCAACCGUAAAAUUGCAGUUGAUACUGGCUGUCUUGAGUACAGUAGAGGUGGGCGGAAUUCGUGGUGUAGCGGUGAAAUGCUUAGAUAUCACGAAGAACUCCGAUUGCGAAGGCAGCUCACUGGACUGCAACUGACACUGAUGCUCGAAAGUGUGGGUAUCAAACAGGAUUAGAUACCCUGGUAGUCCACACAGUAAACGAUGAAUACUCGCUGUUUGCGAUAUACAGUAAGCGGCCAAGCGAAAGCAUUAAGUAUUCCACCUGGGGAGUACGCCGGCAACGGUGAAACUCAAAGGAAUUGACGGGGGCCCGCACAAGCGGAGGAACAUGUGGUUUAAUUCGAUGAUACGCGAGGAACCUUACCCGGGCUUAAAUUGCAUUUGAAUAUAUUGGAAACAGUAUAGCCGUAAGGCAAAUGUGAAGGUGCUGCAUGGUUGUCGUCAGCUCGUGCCGUGAGGUGUCGGCUUAAGUGCCAUAACGAGCGCAACCCUUAUCUUUAGUUACUAACAGGUCAUGCUGAGGACUCUAGAGAGACUGCCGUCGUAAGAUGUGAGGAAGGUGGGGAUGACGUCAAAUCAGCACGGCCCUUACGUCCGGGGCUACACACGUGUUACAAUGGGGGGUACAGAAGGCAGCUACCUGGUGACAGGAUGCUAAUCCCAAAAGCCUCUCUCAGUUCGGAUCGAAGUCUGCAACCCGACUUCGUGAAGCUGGAUUCGCUAGUAAUCGCGCAUCAGCCAUGGCGCGGUGAAUACGUUCCCGGGCCUUGUACACACCGCCCGUCAAGCCAUGAAAGCCGGGGGUACCUGAAGUACGUAACCGCAAGGAGCGUCCUAGGGUAAAACUG